CCUACGGGAGGCAGCAGUGGGGAAUAUUGCACAAUGGGCGCAAGCCUGAUGCAGCAACGCCGCGUGAGGGACGACGGCCUUCGGGUUGUAAACCUCUUUUAGUAGGGAAGAAGCGAAAGUGACGGUACCUGCAGAAAAAGCACCGGCUAACUACGUGCCAGCAGCCGCGGUAAUACGUAGGGUGCAAGCGUUAUCCGGAAUUAUUGGGCGUAAAGAGCUCGUAGGCGGUUUGUCGCGUCUGCUGUGAAAACUGGAGGCUCAACCUCCAGCCUGCAGUGGGUACGGGCAAACUAGAGUGCGGUAGGGGAGAUUGGAAUUCCUGGUGUAGCGGUGGAAUGCGCAGAUAUCAGGAGGAACACCGAUGGCGAAGGCAGAUCUCUGGGCCGUAACUGACGCUGAGGAGCGAAAGCAUGGGGAGCGAACAGGAUUAGAUACCCUGGUAGUCCAUGCCGUAAACGUUGGGCGCUAGAUGUGGGGACCAUUCCACGGUUUCCGUGUCGCNGCUACGCAUAGCGCCCGCCGUCGGGAGGACGGCCGCGACGACGUAAACUACGAAGAAGUAGACGGCGNGAGACGUGCGACGACGACGACGAGGGAGAGG
RNAcentral lists this ribosomal RNA (601 nucleotides) under uncultured bacterium. Its description in RNAcentral is "bacterial SSU rRNA". The stretch from base 1 to 521 matches the Rfam family "Bacterial small subunit ribosomal RNA", at positions 338 to 873 of the family's 1533-position model. The record is from RNAcentral.